UCAGAAUCCAGGGAGUAGAGACCACCAAAUCAAGCAUGAGGCUGUAAACGCAAAACCAUUCAAAACACUACACCAGGAAAAAAGAGGUUAACAACUCAAUCCAUAUGCCCCCAUGAUCAAAUUCAGACAGAACCUAGAAACAAAACAAAGGUAUUCCAUCGAAGAAAAAUUACAUUAUCUAUACUUGUUAGCAGUUCUAAUCUUCUGUAUGAAGAAUGAAUGCAAAAUUGAUACUCCAGCAUACUGCAAUAUGAACAUCACCAUUAUCAAGAAAACAGUAAAAGGAGCAGUAGAAUUUCUCCAAACCAAUCAAAGAGUCAACCAUACCUUCGCAUAGCGAAGAGCCUCUGAGCAAUGGGGUACGAAGUUUUUUUAAUCAAAGAGUCAACCACCCAAUCACACUGUCCCAAAUUCUUCCUGUGACAUUGUAACAAUCCCCAAAUGCAUAAUACUUUGAUUGUUCCUGUUACAAACCCACACAAGAACUCCCACACUAACAGAGGGGUUAUUAUACUUACACCGACAAACAACUAGAUCAAAUUCCAAAAUAAACUGGAUAGGCAUAGCCAGUCCAAAACAAACAAACAAUAAAAUGAUGAAUGCAAGGGUAAUAAAACCUAAGGCUUCACACAGAAAUCUUCCGCCACACAGCUUUUCCACAGCCUCCCAUGCCAGUCACAUCCGUUGCUUAUCUUCCCUGUAAGACCCAAGCGCAAGUCACAGCAAAUUAAACCUAGAAAACUAAGUGAAACAUUGAAACAAAGAGACAAAUCCAAGAAUAUUCAACAAGUCGACACCACCAAACCAUUGACGAGGUGGCUUCACACUACGCAGAACAUUACACGAAACUAUUCCGAACACUACGCUGCAGAAAACAGGUUCACAAUUCAAUCCGUGUGUUUCGUGAUCAAGUCCAGGGAAAUUAAAUAGAGGAAAAUCAAAGAAGAAAUUAGGUUAAUCGAGAACAGUUAGCCGUUUAAAUCCACCGUAUCAGGCAUGAUAUCUUUUUUAUAUUUUAAUCUUCAAUCUGACACAGUAAUCUUAACGUGCUGCAAACCGAUGAAACACAAACAGUUCAACUCCAUCAACUAUUAGAUAGAUGAUUAUCCAUGACAAAAUGAAGAAUGAUGCUCUAUAAUUCAAAUAAUUGACUUAAAAAGUCACUAGACUAUCAAUUUCUUAAGAUCUUCAAUUCCAAUAAAAGUGCAUCAAUCGGAAAAACACAAACUCGAUUAAGAUGGGAACAAGCAAGAAGCAUAACAAUCCACUUAAUAGAAAAUGAAAAAUAGAACCAAGAGAAAUAAUUUCCAAAGAUGAAAGAACACAUUGACCCAUAAUUGCAGAGAUAAAUACAGCUCUCAGUAACCAUUGGAAAAGCAAAAAUCAAAUCCAAGAUUCAGAAUCCGGAGUAGAGAUCACCAAAUCAUGUAAUAAGACAGCCGUUCACUGAUCUUCCCAGAGAGAGAUCUAAGAAAAAAUAAUGGAGAAGUAAAUCUAGAAAAGCUCAUACCAAAAGUAGAAACGAAAGGCAGAAUCUGAUAAAUCAGAAUCCAGGGAGUAGAGACCACCAAAUCAAGAAUGAGGCUGUAAACGCAAAACCAUUCAAAACACUACACCAGGAAAAAAGAGGUUAACAACUCAAUCCAUAUGCCCCCAUGUUCAAAUUCAGACAGAACCUAGAAAAAAAACAAAGGGAUUCCAUCGAAGAAAAAUGAUGAAUGCAAGGGUCAUAAAACCUAAGGCUUCACACAGAAAUCUUCCGC
Molecule: long non-coding RNA, 1763 nt
Filed under: Glycine max (soybean)
Lineage: Eukaryota; Viridiplantae; Streptophyta; Magnoliopsida; Fabales; Fabaceae
Description: long non-coding RNA (GMAX_LNC002144)
Source: RNAcentral